RNAcentral lists this ribosomal RNA (427 nucleotides) under uncultured bacterium. Its description in RNAcentral is "partial 16S ribosomal RNA". It matches the Rfam family "Bacterial small subunit ribosomal RNA", at positions 355 to 774 of the family's 1533-position model. The record is from RNAcentral.
UGGGGAAUAUUGGACAAUGGGCGAAAGCCUGAUCCAGCCAUGCCGCGUGUGUGAAGAAGGUCUUCGGAUUGUAAAGCACUUUAAGUUGGGAGGAAGGGCAUUAACCUAAUACGUUAGUGUUUUGACGUUACCGACAGAAUAAGCACCGGCUAACUCUGUGCCAGCAGCCGCGGUAAUACAGAGGGUGCAAGCGUUAAUCGGAAUUACUGGGCGUAAAGCGCGCGUAGGUGGUUUGUUAAGUUGGAUGUGAAAUCCCCGGGCUCAACCUGGGAACUGCAUUCAAAACUGACUGACUAGAGUAUGGUAGAGGGUGGUGAAAUUUCCUGUGUAGCGGUGAAAUGCGUAGAUAUAGGAAGGAACACCAGUGGCGAAGGCGACCACCUGGACUAAUACUGACACUGAGGUGCGAAAGCGUGGGGAGCAAACA